Molecule: ribosomal RNA, 315 nt
Filed under: uncultured eukaryote
Lineage: Eukaryota
Description: partial 18S ribosomal RNA
Rfam family: Eukaryotic small subunit ribosomal RNA
Source: RNAcentral
CCCUUAGAUGUUCUGGGCUGCACGCGCGCUACACUGAAGCGUUCAACGAGUAUUCACCUUGCCCGGGAGGGUUGGGUAAUCUUUUGAAAACGCUUCGUGAUGGGGAUAGAUUAUUGCAAUUAUUAAUCUUCAACGAGGAAUUCCUAGUAAGCGCGAGUCAUCAGCUCGUGCUGAUUACGUCCCUGCCCUUUGUACACACCGCCCGUCGCUCCUACCGAUUGAGUGGUCCGGUGAAGCCUCCGGAUUGGCGCGCACCUCGGUGCCGCCGAGAAGUUGGCUAAACCUUACCAUUUAGAGGAAGGUGAAGUCGUAACA